RNAcentral lists this ribosomal RNA (440 nucleotides) under uncultured bacterium. RNAcentral's name for it is "partial 16S ribosomal RNA". It matches the Rfam family "Bacterial small subunit ribosomal RNA", at positions 338 to 795 of the family's 1533-position model. The record is from RNAcentral.
CCUACGGGCGGCAGCAGUAGGGAAUAUUGCUCAAUGGGGGAAACCCUGAAGCAGCAACGCCGCGUGGAGGAUGAAGGUUUUCGGAUUGUAAACUCCUUUUGUUAGAGAAGAUAAUGACGGUAUCUAACGAAUAAGCACCGGCUAACUCCGUGCCAGCAGCCGCGGGAAUACGGAGGGUGCAAGCGUUACUCGGAACCACUGGGCGUAAAGAGCGCGUAGGGGGGAUAGCAAGUCAGAUGUGAAAUCCUAUGGCUUAACCAUAGAACUGCAUUUGAAACUGUUAUUCUAGAGUAUGGGAGAGUUAGGUGGAAUUCUUGGUGUAGGGGUAACAUCCGUAGAGAUCAAGAGGAAUACUCAGUGCGAAGGCGACCUGCUAGAACAUAACUGACGCUGAUGCGCGAAAGCGUGGGGAGCAAACAGGAUUAGAUACCCGAGUAGUC